RNAcentral lists this ribosomal RNA (495 nucleotides) under Triticum aestivum (bread wheat). Its description in RNAcentral is "partial small subunit ribosomal RNA". The record is from RNAcentral. Lineage: Eukaryota; Viridiplantae; Streptophyta; Magnoliopsida; Poales; Poaceae.
AUGCCCCAUAUAACUGGACGCCAACCCCAUGGCAAUUUCUGUUCCAAAAGCUCCAUCGCCAUUUCCUACAGAGCCCCGCCAACACCUCCAAAACUCCCCGUGGUCAGGGAAAAGCGUAGUGCUAGAGAGAUGGAUGGCCGCCAUCUGCUGGGUGCCGCAGGAGCUGCGAGAGCGAACCAGAACAAUGCCAAGAUCGUCAGGAUGGCGGUGCCCGUUCUGGCCAUGCUGCUGCUGCUGCUCACGGCGGCGGCAGUCUCCAUGACGGCCGACGACCGGGCCUGCCUCCGCGCCUUCUUCCGCAGCCACAUGUUCCUGAUGUUCUGCGUGCUCGUGAACACCACCUCCGGCUGUGCCCUGGCGUGGAUGGCCGUCACGGCGCCGACGCAGGCUGCCCGGCGCUCGUACGCGGAGUCCACCGUCGCGUCCUUCGUGCUUCUUGCCGUCAAUCUGCACUCAGCCUUGUCCAACCUCCCGGAUGUCGGCGAUGCUGCUUAG